Molecule: small RNA, 64 nt
Filed under: Alkalihalobacillus alcalophilus ATCC 27647 = CGMCC 1.3604
Lineage: Bacteria; Bacillati; Bacillota; Bacilli; Caryophanales; Bacillaceae
Description: Bacillus alcalophilus ATCC 27647 = CGMCC 1.3604 Bacillaceae-1 RNA
Rfam family: Bacillaceae-1 RNA
Source: Rfam by way of RNAcentral
UAUCAAGGAACAACGCUAAGUUCGCGACGUCCUGUCGCAACGCCUUGUACCCACAUCCUGUAGG